Molecule: long non-coding RNA, 1303 nt
Organism: Amphimedon queenslandica
Lineage: Eukaryota; Metazoa; Porifera; Demospongiae; Haplosclerida; Niphatidae
Exons: 8
Source: RefSeq, a predicted model, not a curated record
UACAAUAAUUAAUAGAAUUAAUUGAUUUAGUAACUAUUAUUCACCACCCCUGAUUUAAGGACACCCCUGAAAUAAGGACACUUCAGUAGAUCCCAAUGGUGUCCGGAGUUAAGGGGUUCCACUGUAUAACUUUGUUAUAAUCUACAUGUAUCAGCAAGAGCCAAGAGCAGGCAUACUGGAGCAUGCAUACUGCUCCAGACUAUGGAUACUGGAGGCUCCAGUAUCCAUAGUAUCAGAUUGCGACGUCAAAUUGUCAGUGUUUUGCUCUUAUUUCUCUUGGCCAUUAUGUCUUCCAAUGCUCUUUCACUAAACGAGCCCUCAAUUCUUUUAAGUAAUGAGGAGAAUCAGCUCAUUUUCACUAGGGCAAGGAAGUGACAAGACUGAGCUACUCGAGGAGCUACUGCUGUGAUUCAGAUGUAUCAUGCUGAUCCAAAUCCAAACAAGUGGGAGAAGUUGAGUACAGGUGUUGUUUGCUUUGUGAAAGACAAUUCUCAAAGAUCGUAUUUCAUCCGGCCCAUUGAUCUAAAGAAGUGUGCUGUGGUUUUUGAGCAAGAGCUGUAUGAUGAGUUUUGCUAUUCAAAAGAUUGUCCUUCACUCAUUCCCUGGACAUAAUUCAUGGUUGGUCUCAACUUUGCCAGUGAAGAAGAAGCUGAGGAGUUCCGUGCUGCUGUUGAAAGCAAAAUCACUUAUGCACGAAGAGCAACCAUGAAGAGGAAGCCUCCUUCUGAGCCUAAGAAACCAGUCAAUGCAGUUGCCCCUGGUCCUGUGGCUAAUAAGGAUCCAUACAGUUUAGGGGGUGAUGACUCUGAUAAAGGGAAAGUUUGCAAACCAAAAGGAGGAAAGAAAUUGACUAAAGCAGACAUUGGGAAAGCAACUGAAUUCAGGGUGUGACAAAUCAGGUGUCCUAUUCUGAAAACAUUUGUAACGUCCUUAAAAUAGAGUCCAAAAUAGAAGGAGGUUGCCCUGUGCUCUUAGACAAAGAGCAGGCAUAGAAAGGUAUUCUCUGUAUCUGGAGACAGGAUGAUAAGCUGCUCACUUUCUCCAGGAAGACAAGAAGGAGGCUGAACUAUUGCUUCCUGUUUUCAAAGCAUUUCCUAGUGACACAGAGAGUGGAGAAGAAAGGAGAAGAAGGAUACCGUCUGUUGAAAGAGAACGGGUUGCUCUCACUCGCUAAGUGCAGGAUACAUGAACAUGCCCUCCCUGAGUAUCCAGAGUUACGUUUUCUCAGUUUUGGUCUUGAGAUUGAUGAUGGUUCACAGAGUCAGUCCAAGCAAAAGUUGAUAUUUAUUGCAAUGUCAGUGGC